RNAcentral lists this long non-coding RNA (450 nucleotides) under Mytilus galloprovincialis (Mediterranean mussel). The record is from RNAcentral. Lineage: Eukaryota; Metazoa; Mollusca; Bivalvia; Mytilida; Mytilidae.
CACUUGAUAAAGUUAAAAAUUGCAUGUAAAUAUUCACACAAGAGUAGCCCAAAAGAUGGUUAGUGAAAUAGGUCCGGUGUGAAAUAACGAGUACCAAGGCACGCCUAUUCAUAUGAGGAAACCCUUUCAUAGAAAAUUGAUUGACGAAAACAAAAUAAAGAAACAGAUAAACACCUCCCAAACAGUACAAUUUUUCGCAAUUCAAAUAUUAUUCUCCAUAUCUUGCAAUUUUUUAUCUGGUCUGUAGCUGGUCUUGGAAAAGUUUCCUUAAAAGAUAAAAAAAUGAACAUUAUAACUUUCAUGAGAUUUAAAGAAAUAUUUGUUAUUUGGUAUCAUGCAUUCUGCAAAAAUAAAUAAUAUAUACAUCAGUUUAAGUGUUUAUAAGUUUUAACAUACUGAUUUUAAGUGAGAAUUGGGACAUACAUAUUUGUAUCAAAGUAAAUAUUUUUC